GGGAUUUGGGAGCUUGCUCCCGAUGAGAGUGGCGCACGGGUGCGUAACACGUAUGUAACCUACCUUAGUCAGGGGGAUAGCCUCUCGAAAGAGAGAUUAAGACCGCAUAACAUAUUGGAGUGGCAUCGCUUUAAUAUCAAAUAUUUAUAGGACUAAGAUGGGCAUGCGGAACAUUAGCUAGUUGGUGUGGUAACGGCAUACCAAGGCAACGAUGUUUAGGGGAUCUGAGAGGAUGACCCCCCACACUGGUACUGAGACACGGACCAGACUCCUACGGGAGGCAGCAGUAAGGAAUAUUGGUCAAUGGACGGAAGUCUGAACCAGCCAUGCCGCGUGCAGGAAGACGGCCCUACGGGUUGUAAACUGCUUUUGUACCGGAAUAAACCUUGAUUCGUGAAUCAAGCUGAAUGUACGGUAAGAAUAAGGAUCGGCUAACUCCGUGCCAGCAGCCGCGGUAAUACGGAGGAUCCAAGCGUUAUCCGGAUUUAUUGGGUUUAAAGGGUGCGUAGGCGGCUUUUUAAGUCAGGGGUGAAAGACGGUAGCUCAACUAUCGCAGUGCCCUUGAUACUGAAGAGCUUGAAUGUACUUGAGGUAGGCGGAAUGUGACAAGUAGCGGUGAAAUGCAUAGAUAUGUCACAGAACACCAAUUGCGAAGGCAGCUUACUAAAGUAUGAUUGACGCUGAGGCACGAAAGCGUGGGGAUCAAACAGGAUUAGAUACCCUGGUAGUCCACGCCCUAAACGAUGAACACUCGAUGUUGGCGAUAUACGGUCAGCGUCUAAGCGAAAGCGUUAAGUGUUCCACCUGGGGAGUACGCCCGCAAGGGUGAAACUCAAAGGAAUUGACGGGGGCCCGCACAAGCGGAGGAGCAUGUGGUUUAAUUCGAUGAUACGCGAGGAACCUUACCCGGGCUUGAAAGUUAGUGAAUGUGACAGAGACGUCACAGUUCUUCGGAACACGAAACUAGGUGCUGCAUGGCUGUCGUCAGCUCG
This 992-nucleotide ribosomal RNA is filed under the name Mucilaginibacter rubeus. RNAcentral's name for it is "bacterial SSU rRNA". It matches the Rfam family "Bacterial small subunit ribosomal RNA", at positions 68 to 1062 of the family's 1533-position model. The record is from RNAcentral. Lineage: Bacteria; Pseudomonadati; Bacteroidota; Sphingobacteriia; Sphingobacteriales; Sphingobacteriaceae.